UACGGAGGAUGCGAGCGUUAUCCGGAUUUAUUGGGUUUAAAGGGUGCGUAGGUGGGAUUUUAAGUCAGCGGUGAAAGUUUGUGGCUCAACCAUAAAAUUGCCGUUGAAACUGGAGUUCUUGAGUAUGUUUGAAGUAGGCGGAAUGCGUGGUGUAGCGGUGAAAUGCAUAGAUAUCACGCAGAACUCCGAUUGCGAAGGCAGCUUACUAACCAUAACUGACACUGAAGCACGAAAGCGUGGGUAUCAAACAGGAUUAGAUACCCUGGUA
RNAcentral lists this ribosomal RNA (268 nucleotides) under uncultured prokaryote. Its description in RNAcentral is "partial 16S ribosomal RNA". It matches the Rfam family "Bacterial small subunit ribosomal RNA", at positions 524 to 792 of the family's 1533-position model. The record is from RNAcentral.